Molecule: ribosomal RNA, 430 nt
Filed under: uncultured Ralstonia sp.
Lineage: Bacteria; Pseudomonadati; Pseudomonadota; Betaproteobacteria; Burkholderiales; Burkholderiaceae
Description: bacterial SSU rRNA
Rfam family: Bacterial small subunit ribosomal RNA
Source: RNAcentral
UGGGGAAUUUUUGGACAAUGGGGGCAACCCUGAUCCAGCAAUGCCGCGUGUGUGAAGAAGGCCUCGGGUUGUAAAGCACUUUUGUCCUGGAAGAAAUCGCACCUGAUAAUACCGGGUGCGGAUGAGGUACCGGGAGAAUAGCGAACCAAGGCGUAACUACGUGCCAGCAGCCGCGGUAAUACGUAGGGUCCAAGCGUUAAUCGGAAUUACUGGGCGUAAAGCGUGCGCAGGCGGUUGUGCAAGACCGAUGUGAAAUCCCCGGGCUUAACCUGGGAAUUGCAUUGGUGACUGCACGGCUAGAGUGUGUCAGAGGGGGGUAGAAUUCCACGUGUAGCAGUGAAAUGCGUAGAGAUGUGGAGGAAUACCGAUGGCGAAGGCAGCCCCCUGGGAUAACACUGACGCUCAUGCACGAAAGCGUGGGGAGCAAACA